UCUGAAAAUGGUGCCCUGAGUGGACCAGACCUGGGGUAUUUGCGUGGACAGCUGAAAUCUACUCUUGACAGACUUUUCUCUCUUGGAAACGUAUUUAUUUGAUUUUCAAAAGUGGGCCCUUUGCUAUGCCCUCUAAGAUCUGGUGGCAACAGUGCGAUCUGAAGCCUACUGCUGAUGGCAUUUGGAGAGAAUGAAAAGCAUAGGUGUGGCAUCCCUUUUGAGUUGAUUCUCUUUCUCAUGGUUUCUGAGGGCCAUUGCUCUUCUUUGAGUGUCAUGGCCAAGUGACCGUACCCCCCCUCCCCAUCCCAUCAGCCUUCACUUCUUGAAGAUUUUCCUCACCAACUCACAGGAGUCGUAAUUUCCAGAACUCCUGCCGUAAUUAUAGUCAACAUUGGCAUUCUGGUGAGCGACCCAUCAAGCUUCAACUUAACAAAACCUCCUCAACCUCCAAAGCUUUGACUUCCAUUCUACAGGAGCAAGCCAUCUUCAGCCUCCUUCUCACCAAGAACAGCAUCAUUUCUGAAGUCGGAAACCCCGAUAUUAAAAUAAUCUCUGACCACCGCUUCUCAGCCAUCCGGCUUUCACCCACCACGCCCCACUGUGUCCUCUAUUCCCCAAGCCCCUGUCCCCUUCACUGCUCCCCUCUCUGCCCUGGCUGGAAGCAUCUCUACAACUAUUCUCCGACCUGGGCCUUCUUUUCCUCUACUGGUAUCAGCCUUCCAAGUUCUGACUUUGGUUAAAUGUAAAAUUGACAUUUUCUGUCUCAUACCUAGAUACUGAACGGUGUGGGAGGAAAUCACAGGUUGAUACUAUGUAUUUUUGGUCCCCAAAUCUCAGUGAGACCCUCAAGGCAGCCCCCUUUGCUGCUUCUAAGGAGCUGUCUCACUUUCUUCAUUUUCCCUAAAGUCCCAACGUCCUUGCUGCCUUCUUUGUCAGCAGACAACAUCACCUCGUGUUUCGCAGUGGAAAACAGAAGCUUUCAGGCAUGAACCUCUCCGCUCUCAUUCCUCAGGGUCCCCACCUAUACCACGUGGCUGGCACGUACAGUAGGAUCUCAACUAGACGUAAGGAGGUUAUAUUAUACUGCGGCAGAACCAGGGUCAUUCUGUCAGAAUAUUGGGAAACAUAUCUUCGCAGUUACUUUUCUUUGGUUUUAUAGUUUUCCAUCUCUAGACAGUGUGGAAUAGCCCUGUACCAGGCACAGCCAACCCAAUGUAUCAUCAAGUGUCUCAUUCACGCGCAUAGAUGUUGAUUGAAUGGGUGAAGGAGGUGAAUGAACGAACGUGUGUGAUAAACAGUUCCUGAAAUGAAUUAGUAAAUGAAGAAGUAUAAGAAAAGUAUUCUGGCCAGAAGGACCUUAUAAUCUCAAAACAUCAGAACAAGAUAUUAUAUAAUAAAGUUUUGAAUUGUAUGGAAUGGAAAACUAGAGAUAGGGUAAUAUAUAAGAAGGUGCUGAUUUUAUAGUCCAAGUUCAGCAAAUUGGACAGGAAGGUUUUUAAAUUCUUUUUAUUGUUUAUGUUUUUUUUAAUACAAGAGAGGUCACAGCCCCAAGCAUUGCAUGGCUUAAAUUCUCAUUAUAUCUCAGGAAAGAAAGAAAGAAUGACUAUUCAUAUUGCUGAAGGAUAGGAGUGUUGAGUCAAGAGAUUUAAUGUAAUAUAGAGAGAAAAGGGGAAUCCCUUCUAGGCAUUAGGGCCAAAGAAAAGCCAUAAAUAAACGAAUUAGGGUGGAGCAGUGAAAAUUACAUCUAGGGAAUGACAAUAAGACCAGUUGAACAGGAACAGUAAAUGUAAUUGUGUGUGAGAGUGUAUGAUUGGCGGGGUGCAAGCUGGGCACAGAAAUUUCAACUUAGGGACUAGUUUGUUAGAAAUUCAUUAAUACUAUUAGGAACCACUUUAGAGGAAAUGCUAAGAUGCUCUUAUAUUGCAAGAAAAACACUUUUACUUAUGAUUCUGUGCUCACAGCUUGCAAGAAUAAGUCACUCUUCUUGUCUGAUCAUUAGCGAAUACUCAGUGUCCUUAAUAAUCAUUCAAGAAACUUGCAGAUUGCCUACCAGUUGCAAGCUAAUGCCCUAGAUGUUUUGGGAGAUAUAAAGAUGUAUUUAAAAAGCCUUGUGGUGGGGGAGGGAAGGAAUGCAUAAACAGUUUGGAAUACAUGAACACCUGACUUAUGAAUAGUUAAUGCUGAUAUGUUAUCACCACCAGGGGGCGAAUCCCGUCCGUUUGCGAAUACAUGAUGCUGCCAGAGGGAAGGAAACAGUGUUUCUACCACAGCCAGAGUCAAAAGAAAAAUCCCUGAUCUGCUUCCCAGAGUCAGAGAAGAUAGUAAAAGUCUCUCCUUUUGCCAAUGGCACAUUUAAAUAAGUGUCUAACAUGAAAUCUACUUUUUCCAGGAUGGUUCCAAAAGCAUAUAUUUUAACUAGUCCUUGACGUAGUUAGAAAAAACAAAGCUGUUUUAUAUGUGUAUAUAUGUGUAAAACUAUAGUAUUAUUUGUCAUUUCCCAUGGAAAACGUUCCCCAGUACCAGUACAAAUUUUCAAAACUCAAUCCAUUUAUAUCAUAACUGCCUAUUACAUUACUUCAAGGCGUUCAGUAAUGCCAAAUGAGCAGAGGUAUGUAUUCACCCUUAAUAGUGCCCUAUCUGCUGAAAUCUAGAAUUACUUCUUAAGAAAA
Molecule: long non-coding RNA, 2669 nt
Organism: Manis pentadactyla (Chinese pangolin)
Lineage: Eukaryota; Metazoa; Chordata; Mammalia; Pholidota; Manidae
Exons: 3
Source: RefSeq, a predicted model, not a curated record